RNAcentral lists this transfer RNA (85 nucleotides) under Felis catus (domestic cat). It matches the Rfam family "tRNA". From Rfam's summary of the family: Transfer RNA (tRNA) molecules are approximately 80 nucleotides in length. Lineage: Eukaryota; Metazoa; Chordata; Mammalia; Carnivora; Felidae. The record is from Rfam by way of RNAcentral.
ACCUGACUGGCUCAGUUAGUUGAGCGUCUGACUUCAGCUCAGGUCAUGAUCUCAUGGUUCAUGAGUUCAAGCCCCAAGUCAGGCU